This 192-nucleotide ribosomal RNA is filed under the name uncultured Rhizobiaceae bacterium. Its description in RNAcentral is "partial 16S ribosomal RNA". It matches the Rfam family "Bacterial small subunit ribosomal RNA", at positions 325 to 532 of the family's 1533-position model. The record is from RNAcentral. Lineage: Bacteria; Pseudomonadati; Pseudomonadota; Alphaproteobacteria; Hyphomicrobiales; Rhizobiaceae.
UCUAGAGAUUACUCCUACGGGAGGCAGCAGCGGGGAAUAUUGGACAAUGGGCGCAAGCCUGAUCCAGCCAUGCCGCGUGUGUGAUGAAGGCCUUAGGGUUGUAAAGCACUUUCACCGAUGAAGAUAAUGACGGUAGUCGGAGAAGAAGCCCCGGCUAACUUCGUGCCAGCAGCCGCGGUAAUAAUCGUCGAC